CCUCUCUUUUAAUAGCCGCCGCCCACGUCAACUCCCUCUCCUCCACCAAAUCCGCCCAUCUCCAUUGAUUUAUGAGGGAAAAACUACGGAGAAAUCGGAUCUGCUCCCAUCCUUCACUCUCUUGCGUGGAUUGGAUUUGAGCUUCUCUCCAAGGUACGUUCAUGGUGUUCUUGGAAGUCCCUUCGAUUUCUUGAAAUUUCUUGUAAAUCCACUCAAGAUAGAAGCAAUGUGUGUUGUAUGGAUGGAUUUCUCUAUGGAUUUACACUCUAUUGGGUGAGAUCGAGAGAAAACACGGUUGAACUGUUCAUGCUCAGUUGAACCCAUCCCUUGGGUCGAUUGAACCAUUCAGGAACGAGUUCAUCAUGUUUCCCUCUUCGAUUUCAUCACCACACCUUGUAUUAGUUGUCUCACACACCUUGUCUGUCAUUUGGAAGAUGGUGCGUCCUCGAAAGCCCUAUGCUGUGGAGAGUGAUUUGGAGGACUCUUCCGCCGAGAUCGAAGAAGAAGUUAUUUUCUAAAUCUUUUUUAAAAUAAAUUUCUACACCAUAAAUUUUCUACUAAAACAUGCAAUAAUAUAGAUUCAGUGGGUAGAUCAUUUCAUAAGGAAGUCAAUAAAACAAGUUUCACGAUUUUUGCAGCUACCAAACAUGAUAUAUGCAUUUUUGAAUAUAUUAAGAAAUCUGUAGAUUUGAAGCAAAAGGC
Molecule: long non-coding RNA, 702 nt
Filed under: Zea mays
Lineage: Eukaryota; Viridiplantae; Streptophyta; Magnoliopsida; Poales; Poaceae
Description: long non-coding RNA (ZMAY_LNC005768)
Source: RNAcentral